GUAGGUGGCAAGCGUUGUCCGGAAUUAUUGGGCGUAAAGCGCGCGCAGGUGGUUCUUUAAGUCUGAUGUGAAAGCCCCCGGGCUCAACCGGGGAGGGGUCAUUGGAAACUGGGGAACUUGAGUGCAGGAGAGGAAAGUGGAAUUCCACGUGUAGCGGUGAAAUGCGUAGAUAUGUGGAGGAACACCAGUGGCGAAGGCGACUUUCUGGCCUGUAACUGACACUGAGGCGCGAAAGCGUGGGGAGCAAACAGGAUUAGAUACCCUGGUAGUCCACGCCGUAAACGAUGAGUGCUAAGUGUUGGGGGGUUUCCGCCCCUCAGUGCUGCAGCUAACGCAUUAAGCACUCCGCCUGGGGAGUACGGUCGCAAAGACUG
Molecule: ribosomal RNA, 374 nt
Filed under: uncultured organism
Description: partial 16S ribosomal RNA
Rfam family: Bacterial small subunit ribosomal RNA
Source: RNAcentral